Myiozetetes cayanensis is the source of this 628-nucleotide long non-coding RNA. RefSeq lists it as uncharacterized. The transcript is spliced from 4 exons. Lineage: Eukaryota; Metazoa; Chordata; Aves; Passeriformes; Tyrannidae. The record is from RefSeq and is a predicted model, not a curated record.
AUCACCAUUGGUCUACCCUGGCCUCCAAUUGGGAGGCCUGGAGACACACCAUCUAUAACGCUGCUGCUGCUUUUGAGAACACACGCAGGAUCACUCUCGAGGAGAAAAGACAACGCAGAAAGAAUCACGUCUCGUCUGUAUCACCUGGGGAGUCUUUCUGCUGUGCCUUCUGCAACCGGACUUGUCUAUCUCGCAUUGGCCUUUUUAGCCAUCAGUGCACUUGCAGCAAGCGUGGGUAGAGCCCUUCUCAAAUCUUCGUUCGUGAAGUCUAGCCAUGACAAUUUCCAGUACAAGAGAAUCAUGAGAAAGCAGGAUUAGAUAGACAGGGUUGUCUAUGGAUUCCUCCAGUUUGACUUCAGGGCUAGAGCUCAGAUUGAAACCUCAAUUGCUAAUCUCAUCAAACAGAUAUUUCCUUCUGGAAUUUAUGCCUCCCUACCAUGUCUGCAUCCCAGCAGCCAGUCUCUCUGCCACGGGUUUGAAUUAGAGGAGGAUAGUAUUAUACAGCCAAGAAGGCAUUUCUUGAAGAUUCAUUCUCUUUCUUCAAGGAGAUAUCACAUCUAGAUCUUCUCAUGCAAAGCUUUCAGAACGGAUCUCCUUCCCAGUGAAGGUGUGAAAAGGCUUAUUCAGG